Long non-coding RNA from Apis florea (little honeybee), 575 nucleotides. The record is from RefSeq and is a predicted model, not a curated record. NCBI's taxonomy places the organism in Eukaryota, Metazoa, Arthropoda, Insecta, Hymenoptera, Apidae.
UAAUUUAAUAGAAAUUUAGUAUUCGAUAUUUGUAUAAGAAUAUUUAAUUAUUUUUUAGAUUCCCCGUACCCGGAGACUGUGGAAGAUUGAUCACCUGCGUUGAUGGCAAUCCGCGUUUACUUACCUGCGGUGAUGGAAAACUCUUCGAUUCCGUGAGCCUGAGCUGUCUGGAUCCUGAUGAAUUGCCCCACUGUGCCAAUAACAAUCUUUAAAUUACAUUCGUCGUCGAAUUCUGCAAGUUAUCUGGAAUCAUCGUUUCGUUCAUAUUAAGAAUAAUUAAGAAUAAUUAAUUUUUUAUCGAUAUAAAAGGAAACCGGAUACAUGGUCGUUUCCUUCCUGAAUUACGCUUUAAAUUAGAUCAUCUAUUGUUGUAACCACCGUACAAUUGAAACGAUUAUUAUCCUUCUGUAAUUAUGAAAAAUCAUUUUUCUAUAAUUUAUUCGCAAAAAUUUAUUCGUUAUAUAUUCUAAGUUGAAAAGGAAAAAAAAGUUGCUAGACAAGAACAACGAUGUGUACAACGAGUAUUCGAAUAAAACGUGGACGCGUGUACAAAAAAAUAUACAACGUACACUUUA